This is a long non-coding RNA of Mangifera indica (mango), 768 nucleotides long. RefSeq lists it as uncharacterized. The transcript has 2 exons. The record is from RefSeq and is a predicted model, not a curated record. Lineage: Eukaryota; Viridiplantae; Streptophyta; Magnoliopsida; Sapindales; Anacardiaceae.
UGAAUUCUGUUCUUCUCUGAAUAUUGAUCCUUCUAUGUUCUCUGUAUCUUGAAUUACCUUCUUGAUUCUCACCGUAACUGGAACCACCGGCAUCACUCUCUCUCUCAGUUUUUCCUUUUACUUUACCCCCAAAAUGGGUUUAUGUGCAGCUGUUAUAUUGAGGGACUGAAUUAGGCAUUGACAGAAAGUGAGUGGACAAGAACGCAUGACCGGUCACAUGAUUCCGUUUCACAUUGCAUAAAUUCAUCUCGAGUUCCGGACUGGUUACUGUAAUAUCAUAAGAACUAUAAAAGAAGCUUCUGCAUCAGAAGGGAGACUGUCUGGUUUCGUGCUCUUCUGUGUAUUCAACAAAUGCCUGCACAUUGAUACAAAGUGCUUCAAUGGAGGUAAGUUGCCAUGUCGAUGACCAUGAAGAGAACAAUAUGAAUAUGGACAAAUUUUCACAGCUGAGAUUCCUCCAGAUUCAUUUCCUCCCAUUUGCAGCCCAAUACCGGAGAAAACUUUUUAAGAGUUGAAGAACAUGUAGCUCUGACAACACUCAAGUCUAAAUCUUCAGAAAAUUCUGAGCAUUUCUUGGAGGGCCUCUUUGGUUUCAGACUUGCUGUUUUUGUUAAGAACCUCUGAGGUCUCAGAGUUGUUGAUCUUUUAAAAACUCUUGCCGAGGAAUCUGAUUUUGACUUUGCUAUUUUUGAAUUUCUUCUAUUCUGAUCAUUGUUAUGAAUACUAGAUUCAGGAUUAUUCAGACUUGAAUGAAGAUGUGCCUUUGAA